GGUAUGAUGUUUGGAAUGGUAACAGCCUUCACUGGAAAUGAAGUGGUCCGCAAGGGCGUGGGAGUUCGAGUCUCCCUCAUACCGC
Molecule: transfer RNA, 85 nt
Filed under: compost metagenome
Description: tRNA-Ser
Rfam family: tRNA
About the family: Transfer RNA (tRNA) molecules are approximately 80 nucleotides in length. Their secondary structure includes four short double-helical elements and three loops (D, anti-codon, and T loops). Further hydrogen bonds mediate the characteristic L-shaped molecular structure. tRNAs have two regions of fundamental functional importance: the anti-codon, which is responsible for specific mRNA codon recognition, and the 3' end, to which the tRNAs corresponding amino acid is attached (by aminoacyl-tRNA synthetases). tRNAs cope with the degeneracy of the genetic code in two manners: having more than one tRNA (with a specific anti-codon) for a particular amino acid; and 'wobble' base-pairing, i.e. permitting non-standard base-pairing at the 3rd anti-codon position.
Source: RNAcentral